This 145-nucleotide small RNA is filed under the name Paenibacillus stellifer. RNAcentral describes it as "c-di-AMP sequence". It matches the Rfam family "c-di-AMP riboswitch aptamer (ydaO/yuaA leader)". Rfam says of the family: This family represents a conserved RNA structure found upstream of the ydaO and yuaA genes in Bacillus subtilis and related genes in other bacteria. The ydaO/yuaA element is thought to act as a genetic "off" switch for the ydaO and yuaA genes in its native state. The record is from Rfam by way of RNAcentral. Lineage: Bacteria; Bacillati; Bacillota; Bacilli; Caryophanales; Paenibacillaceae.
ACUUGAAUUACGCUUAAUUUUCAGAUAUUUCAAUCUGAGAAGCGGGGGAACCAAUCAAUUGGGGCGAAUCACUCCUUCUGGAGUGUAGGGUACCAUCUUACCCGAGUCCGUCAGCUAACCCCGUCAGCAGUGGAUGGGUCUAUUU